This 2465-nucleotide long non-coding RNA is filed under the name Cairina moschata (Muscovy duck). RNAcentral's name for it is "domestica (muscovy Duck (domestic type)) lncRNA (ENSCMMG00000001727.1)". The record is from RNAcentral. Lineage: Eukaryota; Metazoa; Chordata; Aves; Anseriformes; Anatidae.
GAUCGGUUGCCUCCCUCCCAGCCCCCACCAUUCUUGUUUCCUUUUCAUACCCUUUUUUAACCAUCUGAGCAAUAAUUGCAAAUUCUCUGCUAGAUGGGGAAGGGGCUCCUGGCACCCGCUGGCAGCCUGCAUGGGGAAGCAGGGUCACACCUGCAGCAUGUCCCAGAGGGGUUUGGGGAGCCCGGGGAUGGGGUGGCACAGGUACUGUGUCACCACCACCCCAAAACGCCUCACGGGAAGAAAGCUGUGGGGAGUGGGGAUCUGCUUGUUCUGGCAGGCGGUGGUUGGAGAUAGGGGUGGUGGAAAUCAGCCUGUCCUGUCAGAUGUGUCAUGAAACUGCUCAAGGGAUUCAGCUGCCUCUGCAGCACACACAGACUGUACAUCAGGAGGUGUUUUCCUCUGGAAGGUAUAAAGUGCUGAGUGCUCUGCCUGGGAAGAACUGCUCGCUGAGCUCCAGCCUGUGCCCUGCAGGCAGCCUGGAUGAUCUUAAAACCCUGCUCCAUGUAAUAUCAAUUCACGUGCUCUGAGGGCAAAAUGCUGCCCUUUCUGUGGGAGGACACUUUCAGGCUGUGCACAGCUGGCUUGUUCUUGGCAGGACACCGUCACGUCCCCACAGGGCUGAGUGGCUGCUGUGCUGUGGGUUCCCAGUUCCCAAAUCUUUUUCCAGGUGGCACAGAGAGAGAAGGAGCAGCUGCACCAGCGGCACUUGCUUGGAUGCUUCCCCACACAGCUCUCCGGUGGAGGCAAAGGAACCCCUAUGAAACAUUCGGGCACCUCGUUGCUAUGGAAAGAAAACCGAUACGAGAUACACAGAAAAUGAGAAAAGUCUUCAGCUCUACGCCGCAGGCUGAAUUUUCUCCACAGAGGAUACCUGCAGCAUGCACAGACUUCACUGCCAGAAGGAACGAGUCAUUUAUUAGGUUUAUAUAGCACCGGGCACUUCGAGCAAGUCAUACAGAGCCAUGUGAUUCAUGCAAACCGCAGAGCUAAUCCUGAGACAGUGUCAUCGGUGAAGAAAAGCUAAGCUGCGACUGGCACUCCUGGCCAGGAACAAGCAGGGUCUCUGCCCUGGCUGUCUGGGGACGACGUCCCAGGGCUCCAAGCCCAGAGCUCACCAGGCUCACGGCAGCGGCGGCAGCGAGGAAUCCAGCCAUUGUCAGCGCCGUCCGACACAAGAACACAGGGCUUGAGUUGAUUAUUUGUGUCUGUUUCAACCGGGACAGUCCUAAUUUUCAAUUGCUGGUUUUUAUUUCAGUAAUCGGAAAGCACUCCUAAUUCAUUUUGCUCUUUUCUUCUGUGCGUCUUGAAAACAGCGCUGUGCUCAGACGAUAAAACAUCCUCUUGCUCUCCAAAAGUGUUUUUAUGUUCUUGUGUGAUGUGAAUUCUAAUCAGGCCUGUGGCAACAGCAUUAAUCUGAUAUUUUUUUUCCAAUUCCAUUUGAAGCUGUUGACCUCCUAUCAGAUAUUUUCAAAUCAGCAGCUCAUCUUUUCCUAUGAAACAAGCCCAAAUAUAAUAUGUAUUUCUCACCUCCUUGGUGCUCUGAAACUAAAAAAAAAAGAAAAAAAAAAGAGUGAUGAGGUUGCUACACAUCUAGUGUAACAGCAGGGCUGCUUCGUUGUUUCCUGGGUUGCUGUCAGCAUUUGACGAGAAGGGAAGGCAAAAGGUGGUUUAGUAUUGUAAGAGCAAAGGUGCUGUGAAACUCCAUGCUGGGGACCAUCCAAAAAAUCCACCUGUGCUUUGCAGCCCCUACAAAUCCUUCCUUAAAACUCAUUCAUGCAUUAAAAAAAUAUGUUUUGUAGUCUUGGUGCUGUAUCAUGAUAGAGAAACUCAAGAUAAACAGGCAAAGUAAAUCUUCCUGUGAUUUUGUAAAGGUUGUUCACGGCUGUAACAUUAAUUCAUUGUUCAGGAAACCUUCCCUUCGGUGGAAUAUAUCAUGUGCCUGCCUUUGUCAGGCGAUUGCUGAGGAUGUAUCCCCAACACGUCAACGCAGCGCUGCAGCUGUGUGCGGUCACCGGUAACUUUCUGGACACUGGAGAAGCUCCGAGGGAAAGUAAAUGUCAUGGAAGUUCAUGAAGAAGGUAGAUAGAUAGAAAGAUGUAAGUAUUUAUAGGCCUGUCUCCCUGACACGAGUCCCAGCAGCACAAUAGAGUGACUCACAUGGAUCCCGAUUAACAAGGAGGGAAAUAUAAUUAAUGCCAAUCAACAGGGUUUUAUGGGAAGGGACCCUUUCAAACUGACGUGUUAUCUUUUACUGAGCAGAUUGCAAGAUUGAGUGAUAAAGUUAACAAAGCUGAUGGAAAAAAAAAAAACAACUUUGACUUCUUUAAGGCCCCCGACUUGUGGCAGCAGAAGGAUGGGAACGCCGUGUGGCACGUCCCCAGCACCUAGCUGAUCGCCUUACACCACCACCGUGCUGCUCCUGGAGGGGCUCUGGGGGCACCUCAGGUGGCAGACCCUGCUCCCUG